CAUUACGAUACACACUUUCCAUAAAUUUGAAAUCAGUUUUCUUUCCUUCUUAAUUCCAAUCAAAAACCCUAAUCAAAGCUGAUUUCACCAUCAAUCUUUCUGUUGGUUCUCUUCUGUUGUUUUCUUCAAACCCUAGAAUUGAUUGUUCUUUGUUGAGGCUUGAUCUAGAGCUCGAAUUGAUUGUUCUUUGAUUGGUCUUGGGCUCGAAUUGAUUGUUCUUUGUUCAUGUUAGCGUUGAUGGCUAUUGAAUAAAACCUAGAUGAUGGCUAUUGAACAAACCAAACAACCCAGGUAACUUUCUCUUCAUCUUCUUGACCUGAAGAGUUCUAGGGCUAAUGUACGUUUAAGUACCCUAGCGACCGAAGAAUCGUGUUUAAUGUACGUUUAAUGUUAAUUCAUGAUUCCUACAUCCAUCUUUUUGUUCGAUUGUGAAUUGUACUAUGUGUGUUUGAAUUGUUAUUUUUGUUUGUGUGUUGGUUUUAUUUGAUUUGGGAAUCUAGGGUGUCUGUUUGUUCAAUUUACAAGUUAGGGUUAUUUUUUUUCUUUCACAAUUUAGGUGAAAUUCAGAUCUGUAUUGCAAUUAGGUAGGUAGAGAUCAUUGUUUUGGUUUCAGAUGGCUAAAACCCUCUUGGAAUCGGUCAGUCACAACUAGAGUUAAUGCGAUCUAUCUUCAUCCUGUAUUUGAUUCUCUCUCUUUUUUUUUUGCAUUUGUUUCUGUUUAUAUCAACAUAACUUGCAGAGUUAUUGUUUCAAUUAAGGUUUCAUGCAAUUGAAACAAAUUGUGUUACAUAUUGAUACACAAAAGAUGAAUUAUUCUAAUAUUUGCUAAUGUAAAAUGUUUGUGAAACGUAUUUGAGCUUAUGUUAAGAAAUGCGGUUCAGGUUUUUAGAAUUAAACCCUAGAUCUCUCAUAUGUGAUAUUUUUUUUUUGAAUCACCUCUUCCAUUCUUGGUCCCUAUUAACGCUUUCUUAUUGUGUGCCAUCACUGAUACAUACCACGUCAACCAAGGGUGUUAAUAUCUCUGAAGUUAUCAGCCUCCGGCUUCUUUGACGGGUGACUGAUACGAUUGAGAUGUUGGUUCGUAUGUGACAUAAAGGUGUUUGUGGAUGUGACACGGACACCAGCAAUGGUAAAGAAAUAGCCACCAAUGUGUAUUUUGAUUAUCUAUCCUUCCCCUCAGGAAUUCAGUCCAUUCGCCUAUCAGAAUCUGUUAUAUCAAACGGGUUGCUGAGCAAGGGUUUCAAGCUAUUGAAGUUAAGAACUUGGUGUUGGUCGGGGUUGUGCUAUUGCUAUGCGAGCUCGGCCUAGGUACAUUCAAGCAUUGAUGGACAAAGCAAAAGUGCAUGAGUGAGAACCUGAGAAAAAACAUAUUAUUUUGUUAAACACUUCAAAAGCAUAUUAUUUAUAUUUCAAACCUGAGAAUUUCAUUAUGAACAUCUUACAUGUAUAAUGUUCUUUGUCAAUACUUCAAAAGCAUAUUAUUUUGUUAAACACUUCAAUUUAUAUU
This is a long non-coding RNA of Helianthus annuus (common sunflower), 1507 nucleotides long. RefSeq lists it as uncharacterized. The record is from RefSeq and is a predicted model, not a curated record. Lineage: Eukaryota; Viridiplantae; Streptophyta; Magnoliopsida; Asterales; Asteraceae. The transcript has 6 exons.